This 253-nucleotide ribosomal RNA is filed under the name uncultured bacterium. RNAcentral's name for it is "partial 16S ribosomal RNA". It matches the Rfam family "Bacterial small subunit ribosomal RNA", at positions 524 to 776 of the family's 1533-position model. The record is from RNAcentral.
UACGUAGGGGGCGAGCGUUGUCCGGAUUUAUUGGGCGUAAAGAGCGUGUAGGCGGCCAGGUAGGUCUGCUGUGAAAACUCGAGGCUCAACCUCGAGACGUCGGCGGAAACCAUCUGGCUAGAGUCCGGAAGAGGAGAGUGGAAUUCCUGGUGUAGCGGUGAAAUGCGCAGAUAUCUGGAGGAACACCGGUGGCGAAGGCGGCAUCCUGGAUCAACACUGACGCUGAGGAGCGAAAGCCAGGGGAGCAAACGGG